RNAcentral lists this ribosomal RNA (372 nucleotides) under uncultured Glomeromycotina. RNAcentral describes it as "eukaryotic LSU rRNA". Lineage: Eukaryota; Fungi; Glomeromycota. The record is from RNAcentral.
UUGAAAGGGAAACGAUUGAAGUCAGUCGUACCUGCGGGUAAUCAGCCUUUUGGGCAUGAUUCUGUGGAGCGUGAGGAGUUAAACGCCUUCACGCCUGCAUAUUCGUGUACUUUGGGUGUACUUGCCUGUGUGGUUAGUUAACAUCAAUUUUGGUUAUCAUAAAAUGGUUGGAGGAAUGUAGCUUCGAUCUCGAUUGAAGUGUUAUAGCCUUCGGCAGAUGUGAUGAUCGGGAUUGAGGAUUGCAACGGAUACCCUUCGGGGCUACCCGUCUGGUCUCUGAUCGUUGCUCUGGUGCCGAAAGCGUGCUUACGGUUAUCAAAGUCGAUGGUCAACAGGUUAGAACGGGUUAAAUUCGUUAAGGAUGUUGACGUA